This 253-nucleotide ribosomal RNA is filed under the name uncultured bacterium. Its description in RNAcentral is "partial 16S ribosomal RNA". It matches the Rfam family "Bacterial small subunit ribosomal RNA", at positions 524 to 776 of the family's 1533-position model. The record is from RNAcentral.
UACGAAGGGGGCUAGCGUUGCUCGGAAUCACUGGGCGUAAAGCGCACGUAGGCGGACUCUUAAGUCGGUGGUGAAAUCCUGGAGCUCAACUCCAGAACUGCCUUCGAUACUGGGAGUCUCGAGUUCGGGAGAGGUGAGUGGAACUGCGAGUGUAGAGGUGAAAUGCGUAGAUAUCAGGAGGAAUACCGAUGGCGAAGGCAGGUCUCUGGGCUGACACUGACGCUCAUGCACGAAAGCGUGGGGAGCAAACAGG